This 355-nucleotide ribosomal RNA is filed under the name uncultured Pelobacter sp. RNAcentral's name for it is "bacterial SSU rRNA". It matches the Rfam family "Bacterial small subunit ribosomal RNA", at positions 1028 to 1382 of the family's 1533-position model. The record is from RNAcentral. Lineage: Bacteria; Pseudomonadati; Thermodesulfobacteriota; Desulfuromonadia; Desulfuromonadales; Desulfuromonadaceae.
AGGGUGACAGGUGCUGCAUGGCUGUCGUCAGCUCGCGUCGUGAGAUGUUGGGUUAAGUCCCGCAACGAGCGCAACCCCUAUCUUUAAUUGCCAUCAUCCAGUUGGGCACUUUAGAGAGACUGCCGGUGUUAAGCCGGAGGAAGGUGGGGAUGACGUCAAGUCCUCAUGGCCUUUAUGUCUAGGGCUACACACGUGCUACAAUGGCCGGUACAAAGAGCAGCGAAGCCGCGAGGUGGAGCGAAUCUCACAAAGCCGGUCUCAGUUCGGAUCGGGAGUCUGCAACUCGACCCCGUGAAGUCGGAAUCGCUAGUAACCGUGGGUCAGCAACACCGCGGUGAAUACGUUCCCGGGCCUU